GCAUUUCUGUUUCUGAUGCGUGUUUGGAAAGAUAUACGCUCUCGUAGCUCACACAGCUUGUUCUUUCUGCAAGGUAGCCAGUAACAUGCUGGGAGGUCAGAUAGCCCACUGUCUCUACUAGUCCUACUCCAACUACAAAGCCCACGUGUCUCCUUCUCCGCUGGUGGAUCUUUAGGUCGGGUUAUUCUGAGAGGGGAUCCAGAGUGGUGUACUGAAAGUUACGAUUAUAUGAGAUGGAUAAAAUACAGCAUAAUCCACAAUUAAUAACAGAAUCACCAAUCAGUAAUACGCCUUGAUGCAUGCUCAAUUAUCCAGGCGACUGAUGGGAGGAGGAGAGUCUGAUGGAGGAGCAGCUCAGCCACUGCAGUGAGAUCUGUUCUUCAUAAAAGGCAAAAGAAGGAAAAGCAAGCCAAAACCUCUGCACACCGAUGACCUAAAAAUAACCCACCCAAGGCCAACAAGUACAGAUAAACCAGUUGUGAUCCCUGUGGAAAAGACUUUUACCACUAUGAAGCAAGCCAGAAGACACCAGCGCACCGAUAGUGGG
This is a non-coding RNA of Maylandia zebra (zebra mbuna), 547 nucleotides long. The record is from RefSeq and is a predicted model, not a curated record. NCBI's taxonomy places the organism in Eukaryota, Metazoa, Chordata, Actinopteri, Cichliformes, Cichlidae.